CGAAAGCCGACGGUUCUCCGCCCAGGUCUUUAAGGCCCUGCCUACCCCCGGGCCGGAUGCAACUCUGCCCAGCUCUGAGAAGAGGGCAGGAUGCAGGUUGUAAGCCUAGUGAUCCACAAGAGGCUGAUUUUUCACACAUUAACCUCACUGUCUUCACAUCAAUACCAAGAGGUACACCAGUCAGGCCCUCUAUGCCACAGCCACCUCGCUGUCUACAGGACUCUUCCGCAUGAGAGCAUCCAUGUGGCUGGCCCUGCCUGGAGCUCACGAUGGUCCUGCUUACAGGGCGAAUUUUGCGCUGAGUCAGCGAGCUGGGCCAAGACGGCAGGGCAGCAGGCCCAGGCCAGGUGUUCUGGGUGGCCCAGGAAGAUGAGCCAUCAGCCUCUCCUUUCCACACCUGUCCUGAGGUCAGAACGAACUUGAGUCCAGCAGGGUCCCUGAGCCAGGGAAUUUCUGUGACUGCAAAGGCUGGGGCUGCUGAGUCUGGAGGGUCAGAAUCCACACAGGUGUCAAGCUGGAUAAGCCGAUGAGGGGAGCCCCCUGGGCCCCACCUGGCCCACUGUGCCCUGGUAGUCUAGCCUGAAAGAGAUGAUUAACUACUAUAUAUAGAUGAAUGUUUCUCUGGAUUAAC
RNAcentral lists this long non-coding RNA (631 nucleotides) under Equus caballus (horse). RNAcentral describes it as "lncRNA (ENSECAG00000047289.1)". The record is from RNAcentral. Lineage: Eukaryota; Metazoa; Chordata; Mammalia; Perissodactyla; Equidae.